GAUGAACGCUAGCUACAGGCUUAACACAUGCAAGUCGAGGGGCAGCAGGGAUUUAGCUUGCUAAAUCCGCUGGCGACCGGCGCACGGGUGCGUAACGCGUAUCCAACUUUCCCGUUACUCAGGGAUAGCCUUCCGAAAGGGAGAUUAAUACCUGAUGGUGUUUGAAAUUCGCAUGUUCUUCAAACUAAAGAUUUAUCGGUAACGGAUAGGGAUGCGUGACAUUAGAUAGUAGGCGGGGUAACGGCCCACCUAGUCUACGAUGUCUAGGGGUUCUGAGAGGAAGGUCCCCCACACUGGAACUGAGACACGGUCCAGACUCCUACGGGAGGCAGCAGUGAGGAAUAUUGGUCAAUGGUCGGAAGACUGAACCAGCCAAGUAGCGUGAAGGAUGAAGGUUCUAUGGAUUGUAAACUUCUUUUAAUAUAGGAAUAAAACCUCCAACGUUGUGGGAGCUUGUAUGUACUAUAUGAAUAGCAUCGGCUAACUCCGUGCCAGCAGCCGCGGU
Molecule: ribosomal RNA, 505 nt
Filed under: uncultured bacterium
Lineage: Bacteria
Description: bacterial SSU rRNA
Rfam family: Bacterial small subunit ribosomal RNA
Source: RNAcentral